RNAcentral lists this ribosomal RNA (1767 nucleotides) under Triticum aestivum (bread wheat). RNAcentral's name for it is "partial small subunit ribosomal RNA". The record is from RNAcentral. Lineage: Eukaryota; Viridiplantae; Streptophyta; Magnoliopsida; Poales; Poaceae.
AUGGGCCCGAACCUUCCCAAAAUGGGCUUCACGGCUUUACCAUCGUGCGGGCUUCUUCUCUUCUACCAACUCCUCCCCCAUCCGUUCUGGGCUUCUGGCCAAUCUCAUUCUCGCCGGCCCUGUUCGUGCGAGAGCAGAGGAGACGGAGGUUUGCUAGGUUUUAGCGCGGGUGCGGCGGCGCGGUCCUGCCGUUGUGUGUUAGGUUGGCCGGAGCAAGCGAGCGGGAUGCCAAAGGGCGACGACGCGCUCGCGCGGAAGCGCGGGAAGGUGCGUCGCAAGCGGAUGCGCAGCAGCGAGAACGCCGUCUCCACGCGCGUCGCCGCCAUCAUCGCCUCCAAGCGCCGCCGCAAGACCGGCAAGCGCCGCGGCUGCGAGGGCAUGUGCUUCUCCCUCCCUUGCCCCGAGGACCCCUUCAACGAGCGCCACGGCAAGAAGCGCAAGACCGAAGACGCCGCCGACACCAACGACGACCACAAGAAGAAAAGCAAGGGUUCCAAGAAGCAGGAGCGGGCCACCGGUCCUAAUGCCAUACACGUGCGGAAGAAGGAGACGGGGGAGGACCGGCUGGAGUAUGACCGGCCGUCCAAGUUCCUGGUGGUCUGCCUCAACGCCAUCCGGGACGGGGCGGGGGCAUCCGAGGAGGACGGCGGCGGCAUCCACGACACCGCCUCCUGGGGCAUGGAGCUCUGGAAGUCCUGCGCGGCGUCCCCUCCUUCGGACGUGCUCGACACCAGCUACCAGUACGCCACCCGGGAGCAGACGGCGUGGCUCGUCUCCACGGCCUGCGACAUCGUCGCCAGGAAGGAGAAGCUCGGAGUGGUUGUCUCAUGCCCCUUCCUCCUCUACCUCGUCCCUUCCCAGGAAAAGGCGGUGCAAGUGCGUUCAAUAUGUAAACCGCUGAAGUCUCUUGGAAUACAUUCAGUGAGCUUGCAUCCUGGCGCUUCCAUAGAGCACCAGAUUUCUGGAUUAAAGAGCUGUGAGCCCGAGUUUCUUAUAUCUACCCCGGAGAGGCUCCUUGAACUGGUCUCACUAAAGGCAAUUGACAUAUCGAAUGUAUCAAUGCUGGUCAUUGAUGGACUAAAGGAUUUCAUGGACCUUAAUAUCAUCAAAGAACUUCGUUCUAUUCGAGGUACCAUAUCAGGUGAUGCACAGGUAACUAUAUUUAGUGGUCAAUGUGACCAGAGUGCGGCAACAGUGGCAAGAAAUCUACUACAUGGGAGAAUUACAAAGCUUACCACGAAUGAUUCUGUUACUUCUCGAAGUGCAUUUGUAGCACAGCAUGUACACUUCUGUACUAAAGAAGAGAAGACAUCAAAGGUUAAGGAAAUUCUUGAGCAUGUUUUAGAAAACCAUGCUAGUAAGACAGCAAAGGUUUUGCUAGUAGCCGCGAAUGAUAAUGAAGCGCAGAAACUCUCUUCAUCCCUGAAACUGGAAAUCCUCACAGUGAAUGAUGGCUCGCAAGGCAGCACCUUUACCGUAUGCAGCAGCAUGGGGCUUAUCAAUGUCCUUGUGAAAGGCUGUGAGAGCUUAGCAACAUCAGGUGUUGAGGAAUUUGAGAUUGUGUUGGUCGCGGACUUGCCUCCUUCAUUUGAUGAUUAUGUUGAGAUCCUCACCAGGACAGCUCGUCACACGGUUGCAGGGGAGGUGCAUGUUAUCGUCUCUAAGACUGAUGCUGCUCAUGCAAAGCCCUUGGCUGAUGUUCUUGCAAACAGUGGACAGGCGGUGCCUAAGUUGCUAAGACAAUUAAUUGACAAGAAUCACUCCUGA